Molecule: ribosomal RNA, 497 nt
Filed under: uncultured bacterium
Lineage: Bacteria
Description: partial 16S ribosomal RNA
Rfam family: Bacterial small subunit ribosomal RNA
Source: RNAcentral
GAUGAACGCUGGCGGCGUGCCUAAUACAUGCAAGUCGAGCGAACAGACGAGGAGCUUGCUCCUCUGACGUUAGCGGCGGACGGGUGAGUAACACGUGGAUAACCUACCUAUAAGACUGGGAUAACUUCGGGAAACCGGAUCUAAUACCGGAUAAUAUAUUGAACCUCAUGGUUCAAUAGUGAAAGACGGUUUUGCUGUCACUUAUAGAUUGAUCCGCGCCGCAUUAGCUAGUUGGUAAGGUAACGGCUUACCAAGGCUACGAUGCGUAGCCGACCUGAGAGCGUGAUCGGACACACUGGAACUGAGACACGGUACAGACUCCUACGGGAGGAAGCAGUAGGGAAUCUUCCGCAAUGGGCGAAAGCCUGACGGAGCAACGCCGCGUGAGUGAUGAAGGUCUUCGGAUCGUAAAACUCUGUUAUUAGGGAAGAACAAAUGUGUAAGUAACUAUGCACGUCUUGACGGUACCUAAUGAGAAAGCCCCGGCUAACUACGUG